This is a non-coding RNA of Triangularia verruculosa, 98 nucleotides long. The record is from the annotation of a GenBank genome assembly. Lineage: Eukaryota; Fungi; Ascomycota; Sordariomycetes; Sordariales; Podosporaceae.
GCCCGUGUGGUGUAGUGGUUGCAUACCACGAGGUAGUUCUCGAAUGUACACUACUAAACUACACUUGUGGGGCCCAGGUUCGAUUCCUGGCACGGGCA